GAAAGGGGAGAAGUAAUGUGAAUUGCAGAAUUCAGUGAAUCAUCGAAUCUUUGAACGCACCUUGCGCUCCUUGGUAUUCCUUGGAGCAUGCCUGUUUGAGUAUCAUGAAAUCUUCAAAGUAAAUCUUUUGUUAACUCAAUUGGUUUCUACUUUGGUAUUGGAGGUCUUUGCAGCUUCACACCUGCUCCUCUUUGUUCAUUAGCUGGAUCUCAGUGUUAUGCUUGGUUCCACUCGGCGUGAUAAGUUAUCUAUCGCUGAGGACACUGUAAAAGGUGGCCAAGGUAAAUGCAGAUGAACCGCUUCUAAUAGUCCAUUGACUUGGACAAUACUUUUAUGAUCUGAUCUCAAAUCAGGUAGGACUACCCGCUGAACUUAAGC
Molecule: unclassified non-coding RNA, 378 nt
Filed under: plant metagenome
Description: partial contains 5.8S ribosomal RNA, internal transcribed spacer 2, and large subunit ribosomal RNA
Rfam family: 5.8S ribosomal RNA (bases 1-105)
Source: RNAcentral